CGCUUCCUCCCCCGACUGCGUCCAGGCCGCGGCGGCCGGCGCCCGCACUCUGGUCUCGUCACUUUUCGUCGCCCCCUCCAGCAAAGAUCCCUUAUCCACCGCCGGGGUUGACAUGAUCCGGGAGGCGUUGGUGAAGAUGGGCCAACCGGAUCUGCCUUUUACUGAAGCCAGUGACCGCCUUGCCUCCGAUCCGCCGCCGGGCAUGGUCGCCAUUUACACGCCCUUUGUUGAUGCCGGUCUCGUUCUCCCGCUUCCCCCUCUGGUGGCCGAGGCGAUGCACUACUGCGGCGUCGCAAUCUCUCAGUUUCCUCCGGCCGCCAUCGACCGCCUGAUGAUUUUCGACCUUCUCUUGCGUCGGGCCGGCUGCCACGUCUGCC
This 377-nucleotide long non-coding RNA is filed under the name Zostera marina. Its description in RNAcentral is "long non-coding RNA (ZMAR_LNC000900)". Lineage: Eukaryota; Viridiplantae; Streptophyta; Magnoliopsida; Alismatales; Zosteraceae. The record is from RNAcentral.